CCACCUGCUACUCCUCUCUGAGCUACUUUUCCAGGUUCCACAGGGAGAGGUUCAGCUGUCCGUGGUAGACAUGAGGGUAGAGAAUGAGGUGGUUGGGUUCCACUUACCUUUCUAUCAUCUUGCAGUAUGGAUGUCUCUUGACUGGUACCAUGUAGACUUUUGAGGGCACACAGGAGUCUGCAGAGAGAUACUGGGGACAUUGAGUAGCAGCGGUGGGGUUGGGAGGCAGAAAUGAGGACAGGAACAUUUACCUUGUGUUUCUCUCAGCUUCUCAGAUGACCAAGAUGGUGCUGCAGAUGGUGCUGAGGAUGGAGAACCCACCAAGCCCCGCUAGGAGCCACCUAGACUGGAUGUAGAGCAUGGCCCCAGCACCCGCAGAGCAGACACUGCGAUGACAACGGACGACACAGAAGUGCCCGCUAUGACUCCAGCACCGGGCCACGCCGCUCUGGAAACUCAAACGCUGAGCGCUGAGACCUCUUCUAGGGCCUCAACCCCAGUCGGCCCCAUUCCAGAAGCAGAGACCAGGGGAGCCAAGAGAAUUUCCCCUGCAAGAGAGACCAGGAGUUUCACAAAAACAUCUCCCAACUUCGUGGUGCUGAUCACCACCUCUGUGGAGACAUCAGCCGCCAGUGGCAGCCCCGAGGGAGCUGGAAUGACCACAGUUCAGACCAUCACAGGCAGUGAUCCCGAGGAAGCCAUCUUUGACACCCUUUGCACCGAUGACAGCUCUGAAGAGGCAAAGACACUCACAAUGGACAUAU
RNAcentral lists this long non-coding RNA (764 nucleotides) under Pan troglodytes (chimpanzee). RNAcentral describes it as "lincRNA". The record is from RNAcentral. Lineage: Eukaryota; Metazoa; Chordata; Mammalia; Primates; Hominidae.